UCAACAAGUUGUAUAAUUAAAAUAAAAUUAUCAUAAAUUCUAUUUUAGGAAAAUUUUCAUUUUUAUAGAAAACUAUUGUUGGUUUGGGGUUGUGAUUUUUAAAUUAGGAUAGCAAGAUUUUAAGUUGAUAGAUGGGUAUUUCUUAAGAUUUUUUUAUCAACAAGUUGUAUUUUAAAAAUAAAAUUAUUAAAAAUUCUAUUUUAGGAAACUUUUCAUUUUUACAGAAAAAGUAUUAAAGAUUUGGGAGUUGUGAUUUAGAAAUUAGGAUAACAAGAAUUUUUGUUGAUAGAUGAGUAUUCUUUUAGAUUUUUUGAUCGACAAGUUGUUUUUAAAAAAAAAAAAUUCUCAAAAUUUUUAUUUUAGAAAAGUUUUCAUUUUUAUAGAAAAAUGUUGUGGAUUUGGGGUUUUGAUUUUGAAAUUAGGAUAACAAGCAUUGUUGUUGAUAGAUGAGUAUUCUUUUAGAUUUUUUGAUCAAUAUGUUGUAUUUUUAAAUUAAAAUUCUCAAAAAUUAUGUUUUAGGAAAGUUUUCAUUUUUAUAUAAAAAUAAUUGUUGAUUUGGGGUUGUGAUUUUUAAAUUAGGAUAACAAUAUUUAAGUUGAUAGAAGGAUUUUUUUUAAAGAUUUUUUUUUAUCAAAAAGUUGUAUAUUUAAAAUAAAAUUAUCAUAAAUUAUAUUUUAGGAAAGUUUUCAUUUUUAUAGAAAAAUAUUGUUGGUUUGGGGUUGUGAUUUUUAAAUUAGAUAACAAGAUUUUAAGUUGAUAGAUGGGUAUUUCUUAAGAUUUUUUUAUCAACAAGUGUAUUUUAAAAAUAAAAUUAUUAAAAAUUCUAUUUUAGGAAACUUUUCAUUUUUACAGGAAAAAUAUUAAAGAUUUGGGAGUUGUGAUUUAGAAAUUAGGAUAACAAGAAUUUUUGUUGAUAGAUGAGUAUUCUUUUAGAUUUUUUAAUCAAUAUGUUGUAUUUUAAAAUAAAAUUCUCAAAAAUUCUAUUUUACGAAAGUUUUAUUUUUAGAGAAAAAUAUUGUAGAUUUGGGGUUCUUAUUUUUAAAUUAGGAUAACAAGAUUUUAAGUUGAUAGAUGGGUAUUUCUUAAGAUUUUUUGAUCAACAAGUUAUAUUUUUAAAAUAAAAUUAUCAAAAUUUCUAUUUUAGGAAAGUUUUCAUUUUUACAGAAAAAUAUUGAAGAUUUGGGGGUUGUAAUUUUGAAAUUAGGAUAACAAGCAUUUUUGUUGGUAGAUGAGUAUUUUUUUAGACUUUUUGAUCAAUAUUUUGUAUUUUUAAAUUAAAAUUCUGAAAAAUUCUAUUUAAGAAAGUUUUCAUUUUUAUAUAAAAAUAUUUUUGAUUUGGGGUUGUGAUUUUUAAAUUAGGAUAACAAGAUUUUAAGUUGAUAGAUGGGUAUUUUUUAAGUUUUUUUUAUCAACAAGUUGUAUUUUUAAAAUAAAAUUAUCAAAAAUUCUAUUUUAGGAAAGUUUUCAUUUUUAUAGAAAAAUAUUGUUGAUUUGGGGUUGUGAUUUUUAAAUUAGGAUAACAAGCAUUUUUGUUGAUAGAUGAAUAUUCUUUUUGAUUUUUUGAUCAAUAUGUUGUAUUUUAAAAAUAAAAUUCUCAAAAAUUCUAUUUUAGGAAAGUUUUCAUUUUUAGAGAAAAAUAUUGUAGAUUUGGGGUUGUGAUUUUUAAAUUAGGAUAACAAGAUUUUAAGUUGAUAGAUGGAUAUUUUUUAAGUUUUUUUGAUCAACAAGUUAUAUAUUUAAAAUAAAAUUAUCAAAAAUUCUAUUUUAGGAAAGUUUUCGUUUUCACAGAAAAAUAAUGAAGAUUUGGGGGUAGUAGUUUUGAAAUUAGGAUAACAAGCAUUUUUGUUGAUAGAUGAGUAUUCUUUUAGACUUUUUGAUCAAUAUGUUGCAUUUUAAAAUUAAAAUUCUGAAAAUUCUAUUUUAGGAAAGCUUUCAUUUUUAUAUAAAAAUAUUUUUUAUUUGGGGUUGUAAUUUUUAAAUUAGGAUGGAAAGAUUUUAAGUUGAUAGAUGGGUAUUUUUUAAGAUUUUUUGAUCAACAAGUUGUAUUUUUAAAAUAAAAUUAUCAUAAAUUAUAUAUUAGGAAAGUAAUCAUUUUUAUAGAAAAAUAUUGUUGAUUUGGGGUUGUGAUUUUUAAAUUAGGAUAACAAUAUUUUAAGUUGAUAGAAGGAUUUUUUUUAAAGAUUUUUUUUAUCAAAAAGUUGUAUAUUUAAAAUAAAAUUAUCAUAAAUUAUAUAUUAGGAAAGUAAUCAUUUUUAUAGAAAAAUAUUGUUGAUUUGGGGUUGUGAUUUUUAAAUUAGGAUAACAAUAUUUUAAGUUGAUAGAAGGAUUUUUUUUAAAGAUUUUUUUUAUCAAAAAGUUGUAUAUUUAAAAUAAAAUUAUCAUAAAUUAUAUAUUAGGAAAGUAAUCAUUUUUAUAGAAAAAUAUUGUUGAUUUGGGGUUGUGAUUUUUAAAUUAGGAUAAAAAUAUUUUAAGUUGAUAGAUGGGUAUUUUUUUAAGAUUUUUUGAUCAACAAGUUAUAUUUUUAAAAUAAAAUUAUCAAAAAUUCUAUUUCAAGAAAGUUUUCGUUUUUACAGAAAAAUAUUGAAGAUUUAGGGGUUAUAAUUUUGAAAUUAGGAUAACAAGCAUUUUUGUUGAUAGAUAAGUAUUGUUUUAGACUUUUUGAUCAAUAUGUUGUAUUUUUAAAUUAAAAUUCUGAAAAAUUCUGUUUUAGGAAAGUUUUCAUUUUUAUAUAAAAAUAUUUUUGAUUUGGGGUUGUGAUUUUUAAAUUAGGAUGGCAAGAUUUUAAGUUGAUAGAUGGGUAUUUUUUAAGAAUUUUUUAUCAACAAGUUGUAUUUUUAAAAUAAAAUUAUCAUAAAUUCUAUUUUAGGAAAGUUUUUCAUUUUUAUAGAAAAAUAUUGUUGAUUAGGGGUUGUGAUUUUUAAAUUAGGAAAACAAGAAUUUUUGUUGAUAGAUGAAUAUUCUUUUAGAUUUUUUGAUCAAUAUGUUGUAUUUUAAAAAUAAAAUUCUCAAAAAUUCUAUUUUAGGAAAGUUUUCAUUUUU
This 3039-nucleotide long non-coding RNA is filed under the name Brassica napus (rape). RNAcentral's name for it is "long non-coding RNA (BNAP_LNC008386)". Lineage: Eukaryota; Viridiplantae; Streptophyta; Magnoliopsida; Brassicales; Brassicaceae. The record is from RNAcentral.